CAUGAACUUUCUGGUGGUAUGCGUCAACGUGUCAUGAUAGCAAUGGCAUUGAUUUUAAAGCCACAAAUUUUAAUCGCAGAUGAACCAACAACGGCAUUAGAUGCCAGUACACAAAAUCAAUUACUGCAGUUAAUGAAGUCCCUUUAUGAGUACACCGAAACGUCUAUUAUUUUUAUCACUCACGAUUUAGGCGCUGUGUAUCAAUUUUGCGACGAUGUGAUUGUAAUGAAAGAUGGAAGUGUCGUUGAAAGUGGCACGGUUGAAAGUAUUUUUAAAUCGCCACAACAUACCUAUACGAAACGC
This 303-nucleotide small RNA is filed under the name Staphylococcus aureus. RNAcentral describes it as "HMPRFS0000_0221". The record is from RNAcentral. Lineage: Bacteria; Bacillati; Bacillota; Bacilli; Caryophanales; Staphylococcaceae.